This 426-nucleotide ribosomal RNA is filed under the name uncultured bacterium. RNAcentral's name for it is "bacterial SSU rRNA". It matches the Rfam family "Bacterial small subunit ribosomal RNA", at positions 354 to 796 of the family's 1533-position model. The record is from RNAcentral.
GUAAGGGAUAUUGCUCAAUGGGCGAAAGCCUGAAGCAGCAACGCCGCGUGGAGGAUGAAGGUCUUCGGAUCGUAAACUUCUUUUUACAGGGACGAGAUAGGACGGUACCUGUAGAAUAAGCCUCGGCUAACUACGUGCCAGCAGCCGCGGUAAAACGUAGGAGGCGAGCGUUAUCCGGAUUUACUGGGCUUAAAGGGUGUGCAGGCGGUUGACUAAGUCGUGCAUGAAAGCCAUGUGCUUAACACGUGGAGGCUGUGCGAGACUGGUCAGCUAGAGGGUGUGAGAGGGAAGCAGAAUUCCGGGUGUAGUGGUGAAAUGCGUAGAUAUCCGGAGGAAUACCAGAGGCGAAGGCGGCUUCCUGGCACACUACUGACGCUGAGACACGACAGCAUGGGGAGCGAACGGGAUUAGAAACCCGUGUAGUCC